UUCUGUGAUGAAACUGCUAUAUAGGAAGUGCCGUCUGAUGCGAGAACUGACGAGGGCAAAGCAAACUCAUUCUGAGA
Molecule: small nucleolar RNA, 77 nt
Filed under: Cyprinus carpio carpio
Lineage: Eukaryota; Metazoa; Chordata; Actinopteri; Cypriniformes; Cyprinidae
Description: Small nucleolar RNA SNORD49
Rfam family: Small nucleolar RNA SNORD49
About the family: U49 belongs to the C/D class of snoRNA which contain the C (UGAUGA) and D (CUGA) box motifs.
Source: Rfam by way of RNAcentral